This 785-nucleotide ribosomal RNA is filed under the name uncultured Glomus. Its description in RNAcentral is "SSU rRNA". It matches the Rfam family "Eukaryotic small subunit ribosomal RNA", at positions 325 to 1111 of the family's 1831-position model. Lineage: Eukaryota; Fungi; Glomeromycota; Glomeromycetes; Glomerales; Glomeraceae. The record is from RNAcentral.
AUGGUAGGAUAGAGGCCUACCAUGGUGGUAACGGGUAACGGGGUGUUAGGGCACGACACCGGAGAGGGAGCCUGAGAAACGGCUACCACAUCCAAGGAUGGCAGCAGGCGCGCAAAUUACCCAAUCCCGACACGGGGAGGUAGUGACAAUAAAUAACAAUACGGGGUUCUUUAGGAUCUCGUAAUUGGAAUGAGUACAAUUUAAAUCUCUUAACGAGGAACAAUUGGAGGGCAAGUCUGGUGCCAGCAGCCGCGGUAAUUCCAGCUCCAAUAGCGUAUAUUAAAGUUGUUGCAGUUAAAAAGCUCGUAGUUGAAUUUCGGGGUCAGUAGGUCGGUCGUGUCACUGGUAUGAACUGGUUUUACUGAUUCCUCCCUCUUGAAGAACUGUAAUGCCAUUAAUUUGGUGUUGCAGGGAAUCAGGACUGUUACUUUGAAAAAAUUAGAGUGUUUAAAGCAGGCUUUAGCUUGAAUACAUUAGCAUGGAAUAAUGAAAUAGGACGUUUGAUCCUAUUUUGUUGGUUUCUAGGAUUGACGUAAUGAUUAAUAGGGAUAGUUGGGGGCAUUAGUAUUCAAUUGUCAGAGGUGAAAUUCUUGGAUUUAUUGAAGACUAACUACUGCGAAAGCAUUUGCCAAGGAUGUUUUCAUUAAUCAAGAACGAAAGUUAGGGGAUCGAAGACGAUCAGAUACCGUCGUAGUCUUAACCAUAAACUAUGCCGACUAGGGAUCGGAUGAUGUUAAUUUUUUAAUGACUCAUUCGGCGCCUUACGGGAAACCAAAGUGUUUGGG